CUGCGGAAGAUCAUUG
This 16-nucleotide ribosomal RNA is filed under the name Paraboea rufescens var. tomentosa. RNAcentral describes it as "partial 18S ribosomal RNA". Lineage: Eukaryota; Viridiplantae; Streptophyta; Magnoliopsida; Lamiales; Gesneriaceae. The record is from RNAcentral.